RNAcentral lists this ribosomal RNA (460 nucleotides) under uncultured bacterium. RNAcentral describes it as "partial 16S ribosomal RNA". It matches the Rfam family "Bacterial small subunit ribosomal RNA", at positions 338 to 795 of the family's 1533-position model. The record is from RNAcentral.
CCUACGGGAGGCUGCAGUGAGGAAUAUUGGUCAAUGGUCGCGAGUCUGAACCAGCCAAGUAGCGUGAAGGAUGAAUGCCCUAUGGGUUGUAAACUUCUUUUAUAAGGGAAUAACAUGUUCCACGUGUGCGUUUUUGUAUGUACCUUAUGAAUAAGGAUCGGCUAACUCCGUGCCAGCAGCCGCGGUAAUACGGAGGAUCCGAGCGUUAUCCGGAUUUAUUGGGUUUAAAGGGAGCGUAGGUGGGCUGUUAAGUCAGGUGUGAAAGUUUGCGGCUCAACCGUAAAAUUGCAGUUGAAACUGGCAGUCUUGAGUACAGUAGAGGUAGGCGGAAUGCGUGGUGUAGCGGUGAAAUGCGUAGAUAUCGCGAAGAACUCCGAUUGCGAAGGCAGCUCACUGGACUGCAACUGACGCUGAGGCUCGAAAGUGUGGGUAUCAAACAGGAUUAGAUACCCGAGUAGUC